GUGGGGAAUAUUGGACAAUGGGCGCAAGCCUGAUCCAGCCAUGCCGCGUGAGUGAUGAAGGCCUUAGGGUUGUAAAGCUCUUUCACCGAUGAAGAUAAUGACGGUAGUCGGAGAAGAAGCCCCGGCUAACUUCGUGCCAGCAGCCGCGGUAAUACGAAGGGGGCUAGCGUUGUUCGGAAUUACUGGGCGUAAAGCGCACGUAGGCGGAUAUUUAAGUCAGGGGUGAAAUCCCAGAGCUCAACUCUGGAACUGCCUUUGAUACUGGGUAUCUCGAGUAUGGAAGAGGUGAGUGGAAUUCCGAGUGUAGAGGUGAAAUUCGUAGAUAUUCGGAGGAACACCAGUGGCGAAGGCGGCUCACUGGUCCAUUACUGACGCUGAGGUGCGAAAGCGUGGGGAGCAAACAGGAUUAGAAACCCUGGUAGUCC
This 425-nucleotide ribosomal RNA is filed under the name uncultured bacterium. Its description in RNAcentral is "partial 16S ribosomal RNA". It matches the Rfam family "Bacterial small subunit ribosomal RNA", at positions 354 to 796 of the family's 1533-position model. The record is from RNAcentral.